GUAAGGGCACCAUCAGGAGUGGAGCCUGCGGCCUAAUUUGACCCAACACGGGAAACCUCACCCGGCCCGGACACGGAAAGGAUUGACAGAUUGAUAGCUC
Molecule: long non-coding RNA, 100 nt
Organism: Salarias fasciatus (jewelled blenny)
Lineage: Eukaryota; Metazoa; Chordata; Actinopteri; Blenniiformes; Blenniidae
Exons: 3
Source: RefSeq, a predicted model, not a curated record